CCAGACUCCUACGGGAGGCAGCAGUGGGGAAUAUUGCACGAUGGGCGCGAGCCUGAUGCAGCCAUGCCGCGUGUAUGAAGAAGGCCUUCGGGUUGUAAAGUACUUUCAGCGGGGAGGAAGGGAGUAAAGUUAAUACCUUUGCUCAUUGACGUUACCCGCAGAAGAAGCACCGGCUAACUCCGUGCCAGCAGCCGCGGUAAUACGGAGGGUGCAAGCGUUGAUCGGAAUUACUGGGCGUAAAGCGCACGCAGGCGGUUUGUUAAGUCAGAUGUGAAAUCCCCGGGCUCAACCUGGGAACUGCAUCUGAUACUGGCAAGCUUGAGUCUCGUAGAGGGGGGUAGAAUUCCAGGUGUAGCGGUGAAAUGCGUAGAGAUCUGGAGGAAUACCGGUGGCGAAGGCGGCCCCCUGGACGAAGACUGACGCUCAGGUGCGAAAGCGUGGGGAGCAAACAGGAUUAGAUACCCUGGUAGUCCACGCCGUAAACGAUGUCGACUUGGAGGUUGUGCCCUUGAGGCGUGGCCUCCGGAGCUAACGCGUUAAGUCGACCGCCUGGGGAGUACGGCCGCAAGGUUAAAACUCAAAUGAAUUGACGGGGGCCCGCACAAG
RNAcentral lists this ribosomal RNA (606 nucleotides) under uncultured bacterium. RNAcentral describes it as "bacterial SSU rRNA". It matches the Rfam family "Bacterial small subunit ribosomal RNA", at positions 331 to 929 of the family's 1533-position model. The record is from RNAcentral.